AGGGAUGUAGCGCAGCUUGGUAGCGCGUUUGUUUUGGGUACAAAAUGUCACGGGUUCCAAUUCUUUCAUCCCUA
This 74-nucleotide transfer RNA is filed under the name Lagerstroemia guilinensis. Its description in RNAcentral is "tRNA-Pro". It matches the Rfam family "tRNA". Rfam says of the family: Transfer RNA (tRNA) molecules are approximately 80 nucleotides in length. Their secondary structure includes four short double-helical elements and three loops (D, anti-codon, and T loops). The record is from RNAcentral. Lineage: Eukaryota; Viridiplantae; Streptophyta; Magnoliopsida; Myrtales; Lythraceae.